This 69-nucleotide transfer RNA is filed under the name Sciurotamias davidianus (Pere David's rock squirrel). RNAcentral's name for it is "tRNA-Trp". The record is from RNAcentral. Lineage: Eukaryota; Metazoa; Chordata; Mammalia; Rodentia; Sciuridae.
AGGAGCUUAGGUUAACUAAGACCAAGAGCCUUCAAAGCCCUAAGUAAGUGCCCUAAUACUUAGCUCCUG